GUAAGCAACCCCGCUCUGAAGAGACGGGGCUUCAGCUAAGAAAUUAGUCGAAGCCGUGCUUACCAGCCUAAGACUUAGUUGUCUACGUUAUCGGCAAGUGUUGAAGUUCCUACCAAGGGAUGCGUAGCUAGUCCCUUGCUCUAGAACCAAAAAGUUAAACAGUUUUAAGGUCACUGAAACAGUGCUUUUUGGAUAGUUACCGACCGAUAACAUUGGCGAAGCUAACGUUAC
Limnoraphis robusta CS-951 is the source of this 231-nucleotide non-coding RNA. It matches the Rfam family "HNH endonuclease-associated RNA and ORF (HEARO) RNA". The record is from Rfam. NCBI's taxonomy places the organism in Bacteria, Bacillati, Cyanobacteriota, Cyanophyceae, Oscillatoriales, Sirenicapillariaceae.